UACCUGGUUGAUCCUGCCAGUAGUCAUAUGCUUGUCUCAAAGAUUAAGCCAUGCAAGUCUAAGUACCAGCUCUCGUACAGUGAAACUGCGAAUGGCUCAUUAAAUCAGUUAUGGUUCAUUUGAUCGUACAGUUUACUUGGAUAACUGUGGUAAUUCUAGAGCUAAUACAUGCGAGAAGCGCCGACCUCGCGGGAGGCGUGCAUUUAUCAGACCAAAAACCGGCCGCGUCUUCGGGCGCGUUCGCCUUGGUGACUCUGGAUAACUUUGCGGAUCGCACGGUCUAGCACCGGCGACGGAUCAUUCAAGUGUCUGCCCUAUCAACUUUCGUCGGUACGGUAUUUGCCUACCGAGGUUCUUACGGGUGACGGGGAAUCAGGGUUCGAUUCCGGAGAGGGAGCCUGAGAAACGGCUACCACAUCCAAGGAAGGCAGCAGGCGCGCAAAUUACCCAUUCCCGACGCGGGGAGGUAGUGACGAAAAAUAACAAUGCAGGACUCGUUCGAGGCCCUGUAAUUGGAAUGAGUACACUUUAAAAGCUUUAACGAGUAUCCAUUGGAGGGCAAGUCUGGUGCCAGCAGCCGCGGUAAUUCCAGCUCCAAAGUAUAUCUUUAAGUUGUUGCGGUUAAAAAGCUCGUAGUUGGAUUUUGGGCGCAGGCGGCCGGUCCGUCGCAAGGCGUGUACUGGACGUCCUGGCCUUCCCUCCGGUUCUCCGCCGGUGCUCUUGACUGAGUGUCGGCGGCGGCCGGAACGUUUACUUUGAAAAAAUUAGAGUGUUCAAAGCAGGCUCUCGAGCCUGGAUAAUGGUGCAUGGAAUAAUGGAAUAGGACCUCGGUUCUAUUUUGUUGGUUUUCGGAGCGCGAGGUAAUGAUUAAGAGGGACAGACGGGGGCAUUCGUACUGUGCCGUUAGAGGUGAAAUUCUUGGAUCGGCGCAAGACGAACGACUGCGAAAGCAUUUGCCAAGAAUGUUUUCUUUAAUCAAGAGCGAAAGUCAGAGGUUCGAAGACGAUCAGAUACCGUCCUAGUUCUGACUAUAAACGAUGCCAACUAGCGAUCGGGGGGCGUUACAUUGACGACCCCUCCGGCAGCUUACGGGAAACCAAAGUCUUUGGGUUCCGGGGGAAGUAUGGUUGCAAAGCUGAAACUUAAAGGAAUUGACGGAAGGGCACCACCAGGAGUGGAGCCUGCGGCUUAAUUUGACUCAACACGGGAAAUCUCACCCGGCCCG
This is a non-coding RNA of Ciona savignyi (Pacific transparent sea squirt), 1225 nucleotides long. The record is from Rfam. Lineage: Eukaryota; Metazoa; Chordata; Ascidiacea; Phlebobranchia; Cionidae.